Molecule: non-coding RNA, 247 nt
Organism: Pelobates cultripes (western spadefoot toad)
Lineage: Eukaryota; Metazoa; Chordata; Amphibia; Anura; Pelobatidae
Source: the annotation of a GenBank genome assembly
UAGGGAGGGGUGACUAGUGACAGAGUGAGGAAGGGGGUGACUAGUGACAGAGGGAGGGGUGACUAGGGACAGAGUGAGGGAGGUGGUGACUAGUGACAGUCACCACCUCCCUCACUCUGUCACUAUGUCACCCCCUCCCUCUGUCACUGGUCACCCACUCCCUCCCUCACUCUGUCACCAGUCAUCCCCUCACUCUGUCACUAGUCACCGCUUCCUUCCCUCACUCUGCCACUAGUCAUCCCUUCCC